UCUCGGAUAGCUUAACUGGAAGAGCCCUUGGCGCGUAACCGAGAGAUCUGGGUUCGUUUCCCAGUCUGGGUU
RNAcentral lists this transfer RNA (72 nucleotides) under Cotesia glomerata. RNAcentral's name for it is "tRNA-Thr". It matches the Rfam family "tRNA". Rfam says of the family: Transfer RNA (tRNA) molecules are approximately 80 nucleotides in length. Their secondary structure includes four short double-helical elements and three loops (D, anti-codon, and T loops). Further hydrogen bonds mediate the characteristic L-shaped molecular structure. tRNAs have two regions of fundamental functional importance: the anti-codon, which is responsible for specific mRNA codon recognition, and the 3' end, to which the tRNAs corresponding amino acid is attached (by aminoacyl-tRNA synthetases). tRNAs cope with the degeneracy of the genetic code in two manners: having more than one tRNA (with a specific anti-codon) for a particular amino acid; and 'wobble' base-pairing, i.e. permitting non-standard base-pairing at the 3rd anti-codon position. Lineage: Eukaryota; Metazoa; Arthropoda; Insecta; Hymenoptera; Braconidae. The record is from RNAcentral.